RNAcentral lists this ribosomal RNA (177 nucleotides) under Ilex canariensis. RNAcentral's name for it is "5.8S ribosomal RNA". The stretch from base 6 to 161 matches the Rfam family "5.8S ribosomal RNA". Rfam says of the family: 5.8S ribosomal RNA (5.8S rRNA) is a component of the large subunit of the eukaryotic ribosome. Lineage: Eukaryota; Viridiplantae; Streptophyta; Magnoliopsida; Aquifoliales; Aquifoliaceae. The record is from RNAcentral.
GAAACGACUCUCGGCAACGGAUAUCUCGGCUCUCGCAUCGAUGAAGAACGUAGCGAAAUGCGAUACUUGGUGUGAAUUGCAGAAUCCCGUGAACCAUCGAGUUUUUGAACGCAAGUUGCGCCCGAAGCCGUUAGGCCAAGGGCACGUGUGCCUGGGCGUCACCCAUCACGUCGCCCC